This 492-nucleotide ribosomal RNA is filed under the name uncultured bacterium. Its description in RNAcentral is "partial 16S ribosomal RNA". It matches the Rfam family "Bacterial small subunit ribosomal RNA", at positions 29 to 507 of the family's 1533-position model. The record is from RNAcentral.
AGUGAACGCUGGCGGUAGGCCUAACACAUGCAGGUCGAACGGCAGCACAGUAAGAGCUUGCUCUUACGGGUGGCGAGUGGCGGACGGGUGAGGAAUACAUCGGAAUCUACUUUUUCGUGGGGGAUAACGUAGGGAAACUUACGCUAAUACCGCAUACGACCUACGGGUGAAAGCAGGGGAUCUUCGGACCUUGCGCGAUUGAAUGAGCCGAUGUCGGAUUAGCUAGUUGGCGGGGUAAAGGCCCACCAAGGCGACGAUCCGUAGCUGGUCUGAGAGGAUGAAUCAGCAAACGGGCACCGAGGACGGGUACCGACCUCCUAGGGGAGGCACAGGGGGGAAUUUUUGGACAGGGGGCGGAGGCGUAUCCAGCCCAACCGGCGUGGGGGAGAAGGGCCUUCGGGUUGUAAAGCCUUUUUGUGGGAAAAGAAAAGAAGCGGUUUAAUCCCCGCUUUUCUGACGGUAACCCAAGAAUAAGCCCCGGCUAACUUCGUG